UACAGAGGUCUCAAGCGUUGUUCGGAUUCAUUGGGCGUAAAGGGUGUGUAGGUGGCGCGCUAAGUCGGGUGUGAAAUUUCGGAGCUUAACUCCGAAACUGCAUUCGAUACUGGCGUGCUUGAGGACUGGAGAGGAGACUGGAAUUCAUGGUGUAGCAGUGAAAUGCGCAGAUAUCAGGAAGAACACCAAUGGCGAAGGCAGCUCUCUGGGACGGUACUGACGCUGAGACGCGAAAGCGUGGGGAGCGAACAGG
RNAcentral lists this ribosomal RNA (253 nucleotides) under uncultured bacterium. RNAcentral describes it as "partial 16S ribosomal RNA". It matches the Rfam family "Bacterial small subunit ribosomal RNA", at positions 524 to 776 of the family's 1533-position model. The record is from RNAcentral.